Molecule: transfer RNA, 75 nt
Filed under: Bacillus anthracis str. SVA11
Lineage: Bacteria; Bacillati; Bacillota; Bacilli; Caryophanales; Bacillaceae
Description: tRNA-Glu (TTC) (tRNA-Glu-TTC-4-1)
Rfam family: tRNA
About the family: Transfer RNA (tRNA) molecules are approximately 80 nucleotides in length. Their secondary structure includes four short double-helical elements and three loops (D, anti-codon, and T loops).
Source: RNAcentral
GGCCCGUUGGUCAAGUGGUUAAGACACCGCCCUUUCACGGCGGUAACAAGGGUUCGAAUCCCGUACGGGUCACCA